This 336-nucleotide unclassified non-coding RNA is filed under the name soil metagenome. RNAcentral's name for it is "partial contains 5.8S ribosomal RNA, internal transcribed spacer 2, and large subunit ribosomal RNA". The stretch from base 1 to 120 matches the Rfam family "5.8S ribosomal RNA", at positions 35 to 154 of the family's 154-position model. The record is from RNAcentral.
GAUGAAGAACGCAGCGAAAUGCGAUAAGUAAUGUGAAUUGCAGAAUUCAGUGAAUCAUCGAAUCUUUGAACGCACAUUGCGUCCGCCAGUAUUCUGGCGGGCAUGCCUGUUCGAGCGUCAUUUCAACCAUCAAGCCCCCGGCUUGUGUUGGGGACCUGCGGCUGCCGCAGGCCCUGAAAACCAGUGGCGGGCUCGCUGUCACACCGAGCGUAGUAGAUUUUCAUCUCGCUCAGGGCGUGCUGCGGGUUCCGGCCGUAAAAAGCCUUAUUUACCCAAGGUUGACCUCGGAUCAGGUAGGAAGACCCGCUGAACUUAAGCAUAUCAAUAAGCGGAGGA